This 257-nucleotide ribosomal RNA is filed under the name uncultured archaeon. RNAcentral's name for it is "partial 16S ribosomal RNA". It matches the Rfam family "Archaeal small subunit ribosomal RNA", at positions 748 to 1007 of the family's 1478-position model. The record is from RNAcentral.
CAGCCGUAAACUAUGCUCGCUAGGUGUCAGGCAUGGCGCGACCGUGUCUGGUGCCGCAGGGAAGCCGUGAAGCGAGCCACCUGGGAAGUACGGCCGCAAGGCUGAAACUUAAGGAUUGGCGGGGGAGCACCACAACGGGUGGAGCCUGCGGUUUAAUUGGACUCAACGCCUGGAAGCUCACCGGAUAAGACAGCGGAAUGAUUGCCGGGCUGAAGACUCUGCAUGACUAGCUGAGAGGAGGUGCAUGGCGUAGACGU